This 483-nucleotide ribosomal RNA is filed under the name uncultured bacterium. RNAcentral's name for it is "bacterial SSU rRNA". It matches the Rfam family "Bacterial small subunit ribosomal RNA", at positions 30 to 507 of the family's 1533-position model. The record is from RNAcentral.
AUUGAACGCUGGCGGAAUGCUUUACACAUGCAAGUCGAACGGUAGAGGGGGCAACCCCUCGAGAGUGGCGAACGGGUGAGUAAUAUAUCGGAACGUGCCCAGUCGUGGGGGAUAACGUAGCGAAAGUUACGCUAAUACCGCAUACGAUCUACGGAUGAAAGCGGGGGACUCGCAAGAGCCUCGCGCGAUUGGAGCGGCCGAUAUCAGAUUAGGUAGUUGGUGGGGUAAAGGCUCACCAAGCCAACGAUCUGUAGCUGGUCUGAGAGGACGACCAGCCACACUGGAACUGAGACACGGUCCAGACUCCUACGGGAGGCAGCAGUGGGGAAUUUUGGACAAUGGACGCAAGUCUGAUCCAGCCAUUCCGCGUGCAGGAUGAAGGCCCUCGGGUUGUAAACUGCUUUUGUACGGAACGAAAAAGGUCUCUAUUAAUACUAGGGGCUCAUGACGGUACCGUAAGAAUAAGCACCGGCUAACUACGUG